GCGGCGCUUCCGCAGAGCUGCGCGGGUCCCGGGCUCGCUGCCUGCAGGGCCACAGCGCUUGUGAGGGGCGGAGAGCGGCCCCCCGGCAGCAGGGGUGGGCUUCGGCCGCGGGCACAUGAUUUACGUGUACCGCGCUGCCAAGCACAAAUAAAACACCCACGACGGGCAAGGACAGCGCUGGGCCUGCUGUAAGGAACUGUUCACGAACUUCUCCGAAAUAAUGGGCCAAUAUCUAGAAGGUGAUCUCCAGAGAAGGUGACACAGAUUCUACAGCAGCAUUGAAAGAAUUUUAGCAUUACUCCACCACCUUUUUAUUUUUUUUGCAGCAAAUGUGCAAAUCUGCAUUGACUUGCACCAUAUUUGACUGUAUGCUGAGUUUACAUUUGCAAAAAGCGGACACCAGCUGCCCAGAGUUUAGUUCUCAUCUUCUGUUCAUGCCAAAUAGCAGUAUGAACCUUAUGGUUAACACAUGUUGCAGUGGUUCACUUUCUGUGUAAAGGUUGGUAUCUGAUAAAGGUAAAACGAUAAGCAACAACAAUUAACCACCCCAGCUGGAACAUUUGGGCUAUAUUAGAAGUGAGAUGACCUGCUCAAUGCACCAACUUUGGAUUUUGCAUUAAAUCCUUAGGUCACUGUAUUUCCUGCACCACCAUGGUCAUAUUUUUGAUGUGAACCCAGUCAACUCAUCUGAUUUCUCUCAGCCUCAGUUUGCCAUCUGCAGAAGAAGAAAGGAAUUUCCAGACCUCAGUGUAUAUGACAAAGAUUAAGAGAUACUCCAGGUGUAACUGUACAAUGCAGUAACUUUGGCAGGAAAGGUGUCUGAAGGAUUUCUUGCUCACUUGCAGCCUCCCUGACUCCAUCCUGACACUGUAAUUUGUUAUUCUAUUCAGUUUUUGAAACCUACCCACCAUCCAGGCCACUGAAAUGACCUGGGUUAAAAAAAGCACACCACACCCCCCCAAUUCUUUAAAGUUUUUUUUUUUUACUGAGAUCCAGUUGUUAUUGAAGCUCCAGCAGCUGGUGACCUGUCAUGAAAAGGACCUUGAAAAGCAACAUGUCAUACUCUAACAUCAGAUAAUGAGCUGCAGUAAUCCAGAGGGAUGUCACAGCACAGCCUUUGUAAAGUCACUGUUUUUGAAGGGGAAAAACACCCCUCACAUAUGAUAUGGGUUCAGUAUCUGGUCCUACUUGAUCAGGUUUGGGGCUAGGGAUGGAACAGGAGCCAACUGAAAGCAAAGGUAAUAGAACAAUUACAUAGGGAUAUAUUUUAUCUCCAUUAUCUCCUUCAAACACCUACUGCUCCCACAAGACUGACAGACUCCAACACUUCAUUGCAUCAGUAACACCACAUCCUCUUGGACUGCUCCUUGGCAAUCAGUUUUAAAGUAUUGCCUGAAGCACGUCACUGCCGUUUUUCCUGACUACAGAUAAGAGACAGUAGCAAAGAAAGAAAUGGUGCAGGGAACUUCUUAUCUGCAGAAAUAAAGCACAGGUUUUCUGAGUCCUGCCCAAUGCACUGACUACAAAGCCUCAUCUCCUGCUAUUUGGUGAGGUCUGUUGACUCCCCAAAGGGACUGUGUGCCACGUGCAGCAGCAAUAGGAGGUGUGGAGCAGGGAGGAGAGGUGUCUGGAAGGGAGUGAGGUGUGUUUCUCUAAAUAUGUAUUAGUUUGUUGGUUUCAAUAACAGAAUCAGUGAUUAAGAGUUUGUUAAUUGGCAACAAAUUAAAUCAGUUGAAAUUC
This is a long non-coding RNA of Parus major (Great Tit), 1740 nucleotides long. RefSeq lists it as uncharacterized. The transcript is spliced from 2 exons. The record is from RefSeq and is a predicted model, not a curated record. NCBI's taxonomy places the organism in Eukaryota, Metazoa, Chordata, Aves, Passeriformes, Paridae.